This 492-nucleotide ribosomal RNA is filed under the name uncultured bacterium. RNAcentral describes it as "partial 16S ribosomal RNA". It matches the Rfam family "Bacterial small subunit ribosomal RNA", at positions 29 to 507 of the family's 1533-position model. The record is from RNAcentral.
AGUGAACGCUGGCGGUAGGCCUAACACAUGCAAGUCGAACGGCAGCACAGUAAGAGCUUGCUCUUACGGGUGGCGAGUGGCGGACGGGUGAGGAAUACAUCGGAAUCUACUUUUUCGUGGGGGAUAACGUAGGGAAACUUACGCUAAUACCGCAUACGACCUACGGGUGAAAGCAGGGGAUCUUCGGACCUUGCGCGAUUGGAUGAGCCGAUGUCGGAUUAGCUAGUUGGCGGGGUAAAGGCCCACCGAGGCGACGAUCCGUAGCUGGUCUGAGAGGAUGAUCAGCCACACUGGAACUGAGACACGGUCCAGACUCCUACGGGAGGCAGCAGUGGGGAAUAUUGGACAAUGGGCGCAAGCCUGAUCCAGCCAUACCGCGUGGGUGAAGAAGGCCUUCGGGUUGUAAAGCCCUUUUGUUGGGAAAGAAAAGCAGCAGGUUAAUACCCCGCUGUUCUGACGGUACCCAAAGAAUAAGCACCGGCUAACUUCGUG